Long non-coding RNA from Ananas comosus (pineapple), 389 nucleotides. RefSeq lists it as uncharacterized. The transcript has 2 exons. The record is from RefSeq and is a predicted model, not a curated record. Lineage: Eukaryota; Viridiplantae; Streptophyta; Magnoliopsida; Poales; Bromeliaceae.
ACCUAAUUGGGGGUAAAAGAAACUUGCUGGCGAAGUCGGUUCGGCAAUCCGACGAGCCUACGCGAAGAUAUUGCCAAAAGAGCAUUUUCGACUACAAUAGUCACGAGCGCGGGUCGCGGCUCUUGGAAAAGUACUCGAAGCGAAUUUCUCCCAUUCCGGCAUCAAAGAAAGGUUACACGCGAGCGGCGCGGCGGCGCGAGGACAGGGCGUAGCUUCGUAGAUAGCGCCCCACCACUGAGACUGAGAUAGCAACACCCUGAAGAGGUCAAGUUCAGAGUUCAAAUGGAAAGAAACAAAAUUGUAGUAAUUUGUAUAAGUUUCAUAUUAACUUAAAAGCAUAUGUGGUUAUGUAAAUGUAAAAUAUUGUAAAUGUAAAAGAAUCUCUGAGA